Bactrocera oleae (olive fruit fly) is the source of this 2687-nucleotide long non-coding RNA. RefSeq lists it as uncharacterized. The record is from RefSeq and is a predicted model, not a curated record. NCBI's taxonomy places the organism in Eukaryota, Metazoa, Arthropoda, Insecta, Diptera, Tephritidae.
CAACGGGAAACGGGUAAUUUUUAUAUAUUGUACAUAUAAAGAUAUCUCAUUUGAUGAUGAUUUUAAUAUAACCCGAUAUCUUUAUAAUGGGUUCCUCACACAACUAAGCCUGAAUAUUUAAAACUGACUUCAUAAUGCGAAGAUAGCUAGCUUCCGCUUUCGACAGCAGCAAUGGGUGUAACAGCUGGUGUCCGCGUGUCAAUGCAGCUGACUCCUCAGUGUGGGUGUAAAUGUAAAUGGUUUGAGUGUUGGUUGACAUUUCACACAAUUACAUACUGGACGGUUUGUGUUAGUCGCUGGCGCUCGGAUUAUUGCGCAUGCGCAAAACAAUAAAAUCGCAUGCCAACGCUGCGCAUGAAUAGUCCAACUAAUUUUAUAAAGAAUGGACGCCAAGUAAGGAAGGAUGAAGUGAAUAAAAUAUUUGAACAGUUCGCCACUUAAGGACUCAAUAGGAAUGACACUGUGACAAACAGUCGAGUGGCGAAUGAUGGCACAGAACACUCCGCAUACGUCCUUACGGUGGCAGCAGUUGUGCUCAAAAUUUAAAAGGGCUCACGACACAACGGAAACAGCGUGUAUGUGUAUGUGAGAAGGCCGUUCCAAUUGUACUGCCGUGUUUAAUAGGCAAUAUUUAAUUUGCUGUACAAUGAGCCGCUUUAAGGACACUGUAGUUGUACAAAACAAAACGGCUUCUUGCCCCAAGUGUUGCGAUUCUGCUGAAACUAAACUGUACAUACAUGUGUAUAUACGAAGAUAUAUAUUGGUACUUGCUCAUACAUUUUCACUUAAUUAAUGAGCCCAAUGAUGACGAUGACAUUUUUGGUUUUAUUUUAAUUCGCUUUGUCCUUCGACACGGAACUGGAGGCGAGGGACAGCUGGUUGCUUGUACUUUACUCUAUAAAUUCACCGUGUUGCUGCAAUUCUAGGCCCUUCUUUAGGAGUUUCAGAUGUCCUUUGUUUGCCUGCUUCUUUUGCAACUUAAUUAUUGCUGGCGGAGGGUUGCUGGAAUAUGCUUUAAAUUGUAAAUUAAUGACUUUUCGGCUGCCAAGUCGCUUGUUUCUUGCUCACUUUAUUUCGUCUCCAUUGUGAGGUGUACACAUGUACAUGAGCAUGAAUACCUACCAAACACUGUAUGCAUAUAGAGAUAUAGCUUUGUUUUUGUAUAUGUCCCAGGUUUAACAAUUUUGUUUACUUCAUCGAAAUUGGUUUCGCACUCUCAAUUGCGAUAAAAGCCGCAACGAAACAAACAAAACAAACUCAUAAUAAUAGCAACAGAAGAGAAAUCAUUGUUAGAAAUUUUCCCAAUGACUGCGUCCUUUGUACAAUAUAUGAGUAUCAAUAGCAACGCGGUAGCUGGUGCUGGCGAAGAAUAGUUAUAAAAUUAGCCAAUAGAUCGGAAAAGGUGUAAAAAAUGCGCUCAGGUGUUAAAAGCAAGCUAAUGGCUCUUCUAUUGGUUGGCUACACACAUACGCAUACACACACAGGCAUCUACAACAAUUCAAUCGAGAACAAACCAAGGACAAUUAUGAGUGUUCAGGGCUCGAGUACCGAACAAUGGUAUGCGAAUUCCAGAUAAUUGAAAAGUCAAAACGAAAUCAUUGUCAAACGUUAUUGGUAUAAACGAGAACAAUAAAUGACAAUAGCAUCGGAAACAACAAUUAAAUUGAACAAUUACACAAAGUACUUAACUAAAGUGAGAUUUUUUAGGUUUUAAAUUAUAAUGGAUAUUUAACUGAAUGGCAAAAAUUUCCUUGUAUUCCUUUUGAAUUAAAAUUCUUCAAAUUGAUAUUAAGAAGAAGGAGCAGAAAGCAGGGGAUUCUGCGAUACGUAACUCUAGUACUAUGGACAAUAACGCCAUCUCUUAGAUAAAAACCGAACGAACUUUUUACUUGACCUAAUAUAUAGACAUACUCGUAGACAUAAAGUUAAAGCAAUGGGAAACAGUAGCCUUCUGAAGACCGUUCUUCUGCAACAGGACCAUUUCUGCAUUAAGCUUCCAUGUCAAAAUUAGUGAUGAUCAAAUGUUUCCUCCAUCAGCCGCACUGAAAACUUAUCAUUGCCAUUUAAGUCUUGCAUUAUACUGUACAAAACUAAAAUCGGUUCAGUAGUUUAAGAGUUUGCCCUAGACAAUCAACGUCACGCAUAAUUUUUAUUUACAUAUUUAGUUGAAGCCUUCAGCCUUUUUUGGAAAUGGAAAUAUAUAUAUAUAUAAGGAAGUGAAAGGGGCGACAUAGCAGUUUGAAAGUCAAGGUCAUUUCUGUUCUAGAUUAGCAAUGUAGAAAAGAAGAAAGGAAUAAAGCAAUGUACAAAAUGUAGCUUCAAAGUAAUCGCUACUAUUCAAAACCGAAGGCGCCAAGUGAAGAUCAGCUCUAACCAAAAAGUUUAUAACUUUCUUGCAGAUAAGGUUAUGUAAGAAGGCAAUAAAGACUUUUAGUGCCAAUACCGAUAGAUGAUAGUUGGGCCCCUAGACCGUUCAGUUCCUUCAAAUACUCCUUCUGAAGGGAUUAAUGAACGCAAGAAUAACCCCUUAGGUCUCGGAGCACCAGAAUUAAUUGUUAAAUUGUGCAAUUAAUAAAAAAAAUAUUUUUUUAUUUCAAUUUCGGCUGUUGUGCUGUAAGAAACAAAAAUUAAACUAGCCGUUUUGCUUGUCAAUUUACACCUAACUUGUAAUUUAUUGCUAGUGGCUU